Molecule: transfer RNA, 75 nt
Filed under: Phycisphaerae bacterium
Lineage: Bacteria; Pseudomonadati; Planctomycetota; Phycisphaerae
Description: tRNA-Glu
Rfam family: tRNA
About the family: Transfer RNA (tRNA) molecules are approximately 80 nucleotides in length. Their secondary structure includes four short double-helical elements and three loops (D, anti-codon, and T loops). Further hydrogen bonds mediate the characteristic L-shaped molecular structure. tRNAs have two regions of fundamental functional importance: the anti-codon, which is responsible for specific mRNA codon recognition, and the 3' end, to which the tRNAs corresponding amino acid is attached (by aminoacyl-tRNA synthetases). tRNAs cope with the degeneracy of the genetic code in two manners: having more than one tRNA (with a specific anti-codon) for a particular amino acid; and 'wobble' base-pairing, i.e. permitting non-standard base-pairing at the 3rd anti-codon position.
Source: RNAcentral
GACCCCAUCGUCUAGUCAGGUCCAGGACAUCAGGUUUUCAUCCUGAGAACAGGGGUUCGAAUCCCCUUGGGGUCG